RNAcentral lists this ribosomal RNA (497 nucleotides) under uncultured bacterium. RNAcentral describes it as "partial 16S ribosomal RNA". It matches the Rfam family "Bacterial small subunit ribosomal RNA", at positions 28 to 507 of the family's 1533-position model. The record is from RNAcentral.
GAUGAACGCUGGCGGCGUGCCUAAUACAUGCAAGUCGAGCGAACAGACGAGGAGCUUGCUCCUCUGAUGUUAGCGGCGGACGGGUGAGUAACACGUGGAUAACCUACCUAUAAGACUGGGAUAACUUCGGGAAACCGGAGCUAAUACCGGAUAAUAUAUUGAACCGCAUGGUUCAAUAGUGAAAGACGGUUUUGCUGUCACUUAUAGAUGGAUCCGCGCCGCAUUAGCUAGUUGGUAAGGUAACGGCUUACCAAGGCAACGAUGCGUAGCCGACCUGAGAGGGUGGUCGGCCACACUGGAGCUGGGCCGCGGUCCAGACUCCUGCGGGAGGCAGCAGUAGGGAAUCUUCCGCAAUGGGCGAGAGCCUGACGGAGCAGCGCCACGUGAGUGAUGAAGGUCUUCGGAUCGUAAAACUCUGUUAUUGGGGGAGAACAAAUGUGUAAGUAACUAUGCACGUCUUGACGGUACCUGAUCAGAAAGCCACGGCUAACUACGUG